This 76-nucleotide transfer RNA is filed under the name Lactiplantibacillus pentosus. RNAcentral describes it as "Lactobacillus pentosus tRNA-Thr". It matches the Rfam family "tRNA". Rfam says of the family: Transfer RNA (tRNA) molecules are approximately 80 nucleotides in length. Their secondary structure includes four short double-helical elements and three loops (D, anti-codon, and T loops). Further hydrogen bonds mediate the characteristic L-shaped molecular structure. tRNAs have two regions of fundamental functional importance: the anti-codon, which is responsible for specific mRNA codon recognition, and the 3' end, to which the tRNAs corresponding amino acid is attached (by aminoacyl-tRNA synthetases). tRNAs cope with the degeneracy of the genetic code in two manners: having more than one tRNA (with a specific anti-codon) for a particular amino acid; and 'wobble' base-pairing, i.e. permitting non-standard base-pairing at the 3rd anti-codon position. The record is from RNAcentral. Lineage: Bacteria; Bacillati; Bacillota; Bacilli; Lactobacillales; Lactobacillaceae.
GCCGUUCUAGCUCAGCAGGUAGAGCACUUCCAUGGUAAGGAAGAGGUCGGCAGUUCAAAUCUGCUGAACGGCUUCA